GAUGCAUCGAGUCGCUGCUCUGGUCCCGGUGGCGGCGCCGGCCGCGGGAAUUCGAUUGAUUUUGAUCCUGGCUCAAGAUGAACGCUGGCGGCGUGCUUAACACAUGCAAGUCGAACGGGGGUGCCAUGAACGAAGCAUCAGUUUACUGAUAUGGAGGGAAUGGGACUCUAGUGGCGGACGGGUGAGUAACGCGUGGGUAACCUGCCCCAUACCGGGGGAUAACACUUAGAAAUAGGUGCUAAUACCGCAUAAGCGCACGGUACUGCAUGGUACAGUGUGAAAAACUCCGGUGGUAUAAGAUGGACCCGCGUCUGAUUAGCUUGUUGGCGGGGUAACGGCCCACCAAGGCGACGAUCAGUAGCCGGCCUGAGAGGGUGGACGGCCACAUUGGGACUGAGACACGGCCCAAACUCCUACGGGAGGCAGCAGUGGGGAAUAUUGGACAAUGGGGGGAACCCUGAUCCAGCGACGCCGCGUGAGUGAAGAAGUAUUUCGGUAUGUAAAGCUCUAUCAGCAGGGAAGAAAGAAAUGACGGUACCUGACUAAGAAGCCCCGGCUAACUACGUGCCAGCAGCCGCGGUAAUACGUAGGGGGCAAGCG
This 600-nucleotide ribosomal RNA is filed under the name uncultured bacterium. Its description in RNAcentral is "bacterial SSU rRNA". It matches the Rfam family "Bacterial small subunit ribosomal RNA", at positions 1 to 540 of the family's 1533-position model. The record is from RNAcentral.